AGAGUUUGAUCCUGGCUCAGGACGAACGUUGGCGGUGCGCUUAAUGCAUGCAAGUCGAGGGAGAACCAGUCGUUCCGUAAGGUUCGGCUGGGGAAACCGGCGAACGGGUGCGUAACACGUGAGGAACCUGCCCCGAAGAUCGGGAUAGCCCGGGGAAACCCGGAUUAAUACCGAAUAUCCUCUUUAGACCACAUGGUCUGUUGAGGAAAUGGUCCGCUGCUUCGGGAUGGCCUCGCGGCCUAUCAGCUUGUUGGUGAGGUAACGGCUUACCAAGGCAAAGACGGGUAGCUGGUCUGAGAGGACGAUCAGCCACACUGGGACUGAGACACGGCCCAGACUCCUACGGGAGGCAGCAGCAGGGAAUAUUGCACAAUGGGCGAAAGCCUGAUGCAGCGACACCGCGUGCGGGAUGAAGGCCUUCGGGUUGUAAACCGCUUUCAGGAGGGACGAAAAUGACGGUACCUCCAGAAGAAGGCCCGGCCAACUACGUGCCAGCAGCCGCGGUAAUACGUAGGGGCCAAACGUUGUCCGGAUUUAUUGGGCGUAAAGGGCUCGUAGGCGGUUCAACAAGUCGGUCGUGAAAACCCGGGGCUCAACCCCGGGACGCCGGUCGAAACUGUUGUGACUAGGGUCCGGUAGAGGUGAGUGGAAUUCUCGGUGUAGCGGUGGAAUGCGCAGAUAUCGAGAGGAACACCAGUAGCGAAGGCGGCUCACUGGGCCGGUACCGACGCUGAGGAGCGAAAGCAUGGGGAGCAAACAGGAUUAGAUACCCUGGUAGUCCAUGCCGUAAACGAUGAACACUAGGUGUGGCGGAUUCAUUGACAUCUGCCGUGCCGUAGCUAACGCAUUAAGUGUUCCGCCUGGGGAGUACGGCCGCAAGGCUAAAACUCAAAGAAAUUGACGGGGCCCCCCACAAGCGGCGGA
This 924-nucleotide ribosomal RNA is filed under the name uncultured bacterium. RNAcentral describes it as "bacterial SSU rRNA". It matches the Rfam family "Bacterial small subunit ribosomal RNA", at positions 8 to 936 of the family's 1533-position model. The record is from RNAcentral.